RNAcentral lists this unclassified non-coding RNA (240 nucleotides) under soil metagenome. Its description in RNAcentral is "partial contains 5.8S ribosomal RNA, internal transcribed spacer 2, and large subunit ribosomal RNA". The record is from RNAcentral.
AACGGUCUAUACCUGCGGUACCUGCGGAAGGAUCAUUAUUGAAUUUACUUGAUGGGUUUGUAGCUGGCCCUCGGGGCAUGUGCACGGCCUGUCUUGACUUUAUUCAUCCACCUGUGCACCUCUUGUAGUCUUUUGGGGGCUGAUGAGCAGUUAACUCAGUCGCAAGGCUGGAUGUGAGGACUGAUUGACCAUGUCUCGGUUUAAUCUCUCUUCUGUGCUGUGAUAUCUCCCUUGAAAGAC